RNAcentral lists this ribosomal RNA (468 nucleotides) under uncultured bacterium. Its description in RNAcentral is "partial 16S ribosomal RNA". It matches the Rfam family "Bacterial small subunit ribosomal RNA", at positions 28 to 507 of the family's 1533-position model. The record is from RNAcentral.
GAUGAACGCUGGCGGCGUGCUUAACACAUGCAAGUCGAACGGAAAGGCCCAAGUUUGCUUGGGUACUCGAGUGGCGAACGGGUGAGUAACACGUGGGUGAUCUGCCCUGCACUUCGGGAUAAGUUUGGGAAACUGGGGCUAAUACCGGAUAGGACGAUGGUCUGGAUGCUAUUGUGGAAAGAUUUUUCGGUGUGGGGUGAGGUCGCGGCCUAUCUGCUUGUUGGUGUGGUGAUGGCCUAUCAAGGCGUUGACGGGUGGACGGCCUGUGAGAGUGUACGGCGACAUUGUGGGUCUGAGACAGCCCAGACUCCUACACGGGGCGGCGGAGUGGGGAAUUGUGCAAUAUGGGCGGACCUGAUACAGCGCCACGGCGUGUGGGGUAUCACCCUUCUGGUUUUGUACUCCUUUCUCGACUGUCAAGACGUUUGUGUGACGGUACCUGGUAAAGAAGCACCGGCUAACUACGUG